CUAAACAGAAAGGUUCACUCCAAAGCACCAAAGCAUCGCUUUCUCUGCUUGCCUAUCAGGCCCCAGCUGGUGACACCUGCCCACUGGCCCUGUCUCACCUGACCAAGUAGAGUCCUGUGUCUGCACCUCAUAGCCUCAUUAAUCCCUUAGGUUAAAAAAAAAAAUUAAGCCAAAUUAAGCUGGACAGUUCAGACUAUCAGGGCAAUGAUGGCUUUGUGGACAAGAUGGUGUGCCAGAGAGAGCACCAAAAGCUCAGACUACGUGAAACUUCCAGAGUAGAGUAAGGACAAAUGGAAAGACAGCUGCCAUGUUGUGAAGCCGCCCUGGGGAGAGGUCCACGUAGCAAGGAACUAAGGCUUGCCAGCAGCCACAUAAAUGAGUUUGGAAGCAGAUCUCUGAGGCCUGCCAACCACCAAGUGAGUGAACUUGGAAGCAGAUCUUUCCUCAUUCCAGCCUUGAAAUGACUGAAGCUCCAGCCAACAUCUUGAUUGUAACCUUGCGAAAGAUGUUGAACCAGAACCACCUUGCUGGGCAGCACCUAGAUUCCUUACCUG
RNAcentral lists this long non-coding RNA (554 nucleotides) under Equus caballus (horse). RNAcentral's name for it is "lncRNA (ENSECAG00000060358.1)". Lineage: Eukaryota; Metazoa; Chordata; Mammalia; Perissodactyla; Equidae. The record is from RNAcentral.